CCCAACCAAAGCCCACAUCCACACUCGCAUCCUCCUCUGACAACCACCACCGCAUCUGGUCUCCGUCUCCCCCCUCGCCGGUCCUCGUCGCCGGCGAUGGAGCCCCGGCCGGCGCCGCAGCCGCCGACCCUCACCGCGCAGGAGUGGGAGCACCUCCUCGACGACUUCUCCUUCCCCCCACCCCGCCGCGACCGGUGGCUCCACCUCCCGCUGCUCGACCUGGCGCUCUCCUCCCUCCCCCGCCGCGACCUCCCCUCCCACCUCAAGCCGCUCCUGCUCGCCUUCGUCGACGACCACCUUCUCCCUCCCUCCGCCCCCGCGCGCCAACUCCCGCUCCUCCUCGCCGCCCUCCUCGCCUUCCCCGCCGACCACCCGCUCCGCGACCACCUCGUCGCCACCGCCGCCUCCGCCUUCGCGUCCGCGCUCUCCGCCCCGCUGGGGGACCCCGAGGGGGAGGCCCCGCCGCUCGCGGGGCUCGUCGGCGCGCUCCUCGCCGCCGCCAACCGCCCCAACCACGCCACCGACCGCGCCGCGCGCGCCCUCGCCUGCGACGCGCUCAGGGCGCUGGACGAGGCACUGCCGGGGCUCCUCGCCGACGUGCUCGGCCACGCCUACGCGCUCGCCUCCGCCGAGCGCUCCCCCGCCGCGCAGUCCUACAUCCUCCUGCUCGCCUCCGCCGCGCGCGGCGCCGUCCGCCUCGGGAGGCUCGGACCCAGCGCCUCCAUCCUCGCCGUCUCCGGCCCGCCCGUCCCGUUCUCCGUGCCCGCGCACCUCCUCUCCUCGCCGCCGUCGCCGCCGGCUCCCCUGCCCCCGUCGGAGCAGAACGUGAGGGAGAUCAGGAAGGUGCUCGCGCUGGUCAUGGAGAGACCGCAGGUGCUGACGCCCGCGGCGGCAAUGGAGGUCACGGCCAUCGUAGCGGAGGUGGCGACGGCAGUGCUGGAGUGGGCGCCGGCCAUCGCGGCGCAUGUCAAAGUGCAGUUCAGUGGGAUGGCGUAUUCGUCGAGCCCAAUGCUGCUGCACUCGGUGCUCACGCUGUUCGCCCGGUUCCCCGAUGCGUUUGGGGCUGAGGAUGAGCGCAAGAUGGCGCGCCGCUUGGCUUCGGCUGCCUGCGAGGCGCACCGCCCACUGCCAGUGCGAUUGCUGGUGUUGCAUUGGCUGCUUGGGUCCGGGAGGUUCAGAGAUUCAGUGCCUGGGCUUGCCAAAUGGUUCUAUCCUGGCAUGUUCGACCCCCUGGCGCUCAAGGCCAAGAAGCUGGAUUGCCUUGGAUUUGUUGCUGCCACCGUUGACAGUGAUAAGGUUGAAGGAGGCAGUUACGGUCGGCAGACGACCGAGCUCAUCGAUGAUGGCUUAGUCUGUGUUUCGGCCUUCAGAUGGCUCCCGGCAUGGAGUACUGAGACAGGUGUUGCGUUCCGAGCGCUGCACAGGGUCUUGGUCGGCGCUGCUCCUCACGGCACGAAUGACAAGGGUUGCUCCGGAGCUGGUGAGCUCCUGAAUUCAACUACCUUCCACCAUUUCCAGGCUAUGUUGGUUGAUAUGGCAUCAGAACAUCGGAGUUUAGUCCCAGUCAUUGCUGAUUUCAUCAACCGCCUGCUAGCAUGCACCACACAUCGGUGGGUGGGGGAACAGUUGCUCCGAACUGUUGAUGAGUGCCUGCUUCCGAGGCUUGAACCAGGCUACCAGCUCGCAUCUUACUACCCUCUUUUUGAGAAGAUUGCACAGAAUGAGGCAGUCCCUCAGCUCCGCCUAAUUGAAUUGCUCACCAAGCAGAUGGUUUGUCUUGCCAAGAAGCAUGACCCGGACACAGAACUGAAGUCCUGGUCUCAGGGCAGCAAGGUUGUGGGCAUUUGUCGUAUCAUGCUGAAGCACCAUCACAGCUCGCAUAUAUUCCUUCCCCUCACCCACCUACUCGUGCGCACCAUCGAGUCAUUCCCAGACCUAGAGAUCCGGGACCAUGCAAGGAUAUGUUUGCGGAUGUUGUCUUGCAUUCCUGGCAAAAAACUGAGGAAUCUCAUGGGGAUUGGAGAGCAACCCACACCCUCGCAUCCGGGUUCCAUGUUUGAUGACCCAUCAGAGCGGCCUGCUCAAGAUCCUAGCAGCAUGCCUGCUUUGGCUUCGUACAUCCAUCUUGAAAGAGUUGUGCCUCUGGUUGUGAAGCAGUCAUGGGCCCUCACAUUGCCUAAUUUCAGUUUCCAGAGCAGAGCGUCUGGUCACAUCAUAAGUAUACAGGAUGUGAGUGUGACUCCUCCAGAGCAAGAAAAGCCACUGCAACCUACCAUCGAGAGAAUUGGCUAUACACAAGAAGCACUACGUGUGAUGGAUUCAAAGGGGGCUGAAACUUUGGAAAUCCUUAGAAGGCACUUUUCAUGCAUUCCUGACUACCUGCACUCAACUGGCGGUCUCAAAGUCAAAAUACAUUGCACAUUUAGAUUUGAUUCAGAGCCAUUCAACAGAGCUUGGGUAUCUGAUUCACCUGUUCCAAGUUCUGAAGGGGAAGAUGAGUUGCCUGCCCUUUAUGCAGUGACAAUUAGCUUGUCAUCCAGUGCACAGUUUGGAAAAAUUCCUUCAUGUCAUGUGCCUUUCCUUUUGGGUGAGCCUCCAGCUUCCGGUGUGGACAUUGUCCCCAUAGAUAACUGCCACCAGGAAGAAUCAAGUUACCAUGCAUCAGUAAUGAUAGAACUGGAGCCCCGAGAGCCAUCACCUGGUCUCAUUGACGUUGAAAUUGCAGCAAACACAGAGAACUGCCAAGUCAUUUGUGGUUCUCUUCAGCCCAUUACAGUUGGCAUUGAGGACAUGUUUUUGAAGGCCAGUGUACCUCCUGAUACUCCGAAAGAUGGUGCAGCUGAUUAUUACCAGGACCUGUUUCAUGCACUAUGGGAGGCCUGUAACAGUUCCUCUAACACAGGUCGUGAGACCUUCCCUUUGAGUGGAGGGAAAGGGUUAGCUGCGAUCAGUGGAACCCGGUCUGUCAAGCUUCUUGAGGUGACUCCAAAGGUUCUGAUAGGAGCUCUUGAGAGAUACCUGGCUCCCUUUGUUGUCAGUGUUGCUGGGCGUUCACUUAUCACCAUUCUAAGAGGUAAUGGAGUCAUUGAGAAUGUCGUGUGGGAAGAAAGUGACUCAGAUGCUGCUGUUGGUGCUGAUGCAUUGGUUCCAUACUCCAUGGAAAACAAUCUCCAGCUUCAGCACAUCGAUGAUGAUGAAAUUGGGAUCGGUGCGCAGAGGUUUGCUCAUCUAAGCAAGAGGGAUAUGGGUGUCGUGAGCGUUCUGAUAUUCCUGCCGCCCAGGUAUCACCUCCUCUUCUCAAUGGAAGUAGGCUAUGCCUCCACAUUGGUCAGGAUAAGAACAGAUCAUUGGCCAUGUUUGGCAUAUGUUGAUGAAUAUUUGGAGGCGUUGCUGCAAUAGUGAAGGUUUCUCUGGCCAAGACUCUUCAGUUUUGUACCUUAUGUAACAGUAAAGGGUAUACAAUGCAAGCUGUUGUUUUUUCCAUUUUCCGGGGGCUUCUUUUUCUGUACCAUGAUGUCUGGAGCGUCAUUCUUUCUGCGGAUUCAGAAGUGUAAUUUCCAGUGGAGAGGGCAAUUUUGUUCAUUGGCCAUCAUCUAGAAUAUGGGAUUGUUUAUAUGUUGAAAUCAACUUUCCAUCCUAUGUUACUUCACCGGCUAUGUAAAGUUGUGGUAAUCAGUGUCCAUUUGCAACAAAUUUGUAAGUCUUCAGUGUUCAGUCUUGAGCAUUCAAGCCUUAUAUAUACAUUGUCAGCAGAUGUUUGAUGUACUACUUGAAACUUUAAUAAACAAGUUUACUAGGAGAGGGACUCAAUAGCUGAAUUCUUGGUCUGUACAUCUUCAUACUGGAUUCAGUAGCCAUGGCCUGGAGAGAGACAGCUCAAAAAUAACAGCUGGGCCGAAGAUCAUAAAGGAAUUUUGGUGCUUUAUAUUUUUGCAGCAUUUGAAUGGGCUGCAUACAAGGCAGGACUGGUGCAAGGGUCCGUUUUUAGCAUCAAUUAUGUGAACCAUUCCUGCUGUACAAACCGCUGAAGGUGCUAUUCACUGUCCACCAUUUUGCAAAGGGUGACGUAGCAAAAUCAGAAGAAUCAGACAAUUUGAAUCUCGUUCUGGUCUACAGCAAGCAAUCAGUCCACUUCCUCCUUUAUCCAGAAACUUUUAAAUAUCCGAAGGCUAGAAGUAAUUAUUCAACAUAAUUUCAUCAGUCAAGUUGAACUUCUUCCUUCAGUAUGGCCUGGGGUAUGCAUAAGUUCAAGAUCAGUUCCAAUGUUCCACAGGAUAUUUCCAGUAAGUUUUACCCUCAGCUUCAGCAGUAAUAUCCUCUACCUGUAUCGUCAUGGUUAUUGCAGUAGAUAAUCAGGGCAAAUAUCAGAGAGAAAAUUGUAACAUUAGAAUCUAGGAGUUGUAAUACGAAUUAUUGAACUGCAAUAUGUCUGAAAUUGAGACUGGGGCGUUACAGUUCCAUUAUGUGCUAUCUUUUGGCUCUAUGAUUUCAUAUUUGGUGAUUCUAAUUCUUCAAAGUCAGCCUAUAAUUCUUUAUAUGCAAUACAGCCUGAUCUUAAACCAGUGUUAACUUCUGAUUUUUGGUUCCAGGGGUAUUUCCUAUAAUCAUUUUCUUAAUAAAAACUUUCCUAACAAUCCUGCUGAGCGGAAGUGGUCAAUGUAUGUAAUUAUUUAAUUUUACUCAUUAUAUUAGGCAUUGAUGUUAAUAGCUAAAUUGGCAACCUGAGGCUCCAAAACAUCACGGGUUCAAAGAUCAAACAUACAAAUUGCAGUAAUUAUUAUCUGUAUUUUCUGGGCAGUUUUGUUCAUUGGUCAUUUAUCAUGAACAACGUGCGAUUAUAUGCUGAAACUAAGUUCGCAUUAUAUGUUACGUCAAGUGAGGUCCACAAGUACUUGGUCAAGUCAAAUAAAAUAUGGUUAAGCCAAGCCAUCACACCCUUGCAAGUGUUAUUGUAGGUAUUUACAGUAAAUCAAGGACCCUUUUAAGCAAGUUGUAUAUAUAAUAAUGUGUGUAUACAAGGUGUUCGGUAGGCAAUUGGUGACUUGGUGAUUGAACUAAACAAAGUAUAUUAUUCAGUACUAACAUUUUUGAACUCGAUAUAGGCACUCAAUCCUUGAUAGAUUGCCAAUGUACAUAUAAGUAUAUGCCAUUUAGUUGUGACUGAAUAUCUGCCUGUCCACGGCUUGGCCGCUUGUUGUUAAAAACUCAUUCGUCUGUCCGGUCCCCAUAAAAUACUAGCUGGACAACAACUUGGUAACAUGCUAUACCAUACUGCAUACAAUAUGACAAACUUAAUCAAGAGAUGUACAUAGUUGAUCAAGUCAAGCAAAAAAGAGAUUAGGCCAAGACAUUGGCGCUUGAAAAUGUUAUAUGAUUAAAUUAAAAAAAGAGACACUUUUAAGCCAGUGGUAUAAGAAAAGUUGAGUAGGCAAGUGAGGGCUGGGAUUAUGAAUGUGUAGAUACAUACAAAAGUGGUUCGUGGACCAGCCAGUAGCAUAAUUAGCUAGUGUGCGUGUGUGGCAGAGAGGAGAGAUCAAAGGGAGAACUGAUGGGUGUCUCAGGCGCUGUUCAGUGGUGGGAGGUGUCGCAGCUGCGCAUCCUCGUCCUUGCUAGCCUGGUGAUUCAGUACAUCCUCCUUGUCGCUUCGGCCGCAUCGUAAGUUCCCCAUCAGAUCCUGGUUUAGACCUGUCAUCUGGCUAGCAUACCUGGGCAGCGAUGCCAUUGCAAUCUAUGCGCUCGCCACCCUCUUCAACCGCCACAGGGAGUCACAUCAGGAGGAUGGAGAUGGCGGCAGCAACAUCCUGGAGGUGCUGUGGGCGCCUAUCCUCCUGAUACACCUAGGUGGACAGGACGGCAUAACCGCCUACAACAUCGAGGACAACGAGCUAUGGACGCGGCACAUCCUCACCUCAGUGUCUCAGGUCACUGGCUGUCUACGUCUUCUGGAAAUCAUGGCCAGGCGACGACAGGAGGCUGCUCCAGGCAGCAAUAUUGCUUUUCAUCCCCGGUAUCCUCAAAUGCUUAGAGAAGCCCUGGGCUCUCAACAGGGCUAGCAUGAGCCUGUUUGGAGGUCAAUAAACACACAGAAGCUCAAGAUCGAUCUGCUUGAAGAUUUCAUUCACAAGGCAAUCAGUCCUGCUGGAGCGAAUGAUUACCUUUUAACACCAGCCACACCGGUGGACUUCACUCCCCACAAGCUAUUUGUGGAUGUUGCAUCUCCUUCUCCGGAUGAUCGGAUCAGGAUGCUGCAAUCCUUCUCAGCACUGGAUGACAACCAUGCGUAUUGUAAGCUGCAGCAUUGGCUCUCUGAGACAUUUCAGCUCCUCUACACCAAAGAAAAGAUGUUCUCCCUCGAGUUUGUCUUUGUAGGCCAAACCAAUAACAUCGCCCAUGCCCGUGCCAGCAUGUCGGAGCAAAUAGUAGGCUUUUUUAGUAGUGGUCUUGUUCGACUAUUUGCUAUGUACCUUCCGUUUGCGGCUGUAGCCCUCUUUCAUUGUAGUCACAGAGAAGUUUAUAGGGAAGAUGAUGUCAAGGUUA
Triticum urartu is the source of this 6537-nucleotide non-coding RNA. The record is from RefSeq and is a predicted model, not a curated record. NCBI's taxonomy places the organism in Eukaryota, Viridiplantae, Streptophyta, Magnoliopsida, Poales, Poaceae.